UUUAGGGAGACCUACACCCCUCAGAAAUCGAAAAGCAUACAGUUAUAUAGAUACUGAGUUGGUCUAACCUAGGUCGGUCGCAGAUAUUUGCAAAAUGUUGAACGCUUUCAAACUAUGAUGAAGGUUCGAUAUGGGCUAUUAGCUCAGGUGGUUAGAGCGCACCCCUGAUAAGGGUGAGGUCCCUGGUUCGAGUCCAGGAUGGCCCACCUGAAUCAAUUAAAAAUGUAGAAUUAGAAAUUAAAAACUUAAUUUUUAAUUUUUAAUUAUCAAUUUUUAAUUGUAUCUGGGGGUUUAGCUCAGUUGGUAGAGCGCCUGCUUUGCAAGCAGGAUGUCAGCGGUUCGAGUCCGCUAACCUCCACCUGUGGCGAUUGCCAUUGAUAAAAUAAAAAUAUUGAGAAAUCAGCAACAUGACUUAAUUGAAGUCAGACUGCUGAGUUGAAUCUCAGCCAGAACCUUGAAAACUGCAUAGUAACGCGAAAUUAGCAGGCAGACACAGACAUUGUUUAUGGAUGUUGUAGUGAAUGCAAAAUGUGAAACACCAAAUGAAUUGAGU
Molecule: transfer RNA, 553 nt
Filed under: Nostoc sp. WJT36-NPBG29
Lineage: Bacteria; Bacillati; Cyanobacteriota; Cyanophyceae; Nostocales; Nostocaceae
Description: 16S-23S ribosomal RNA intergenic spacer
Rfam family: tRNA (bases 286-358)
Source: RNAcentral